CAGCAUGCCCAGGUAAAUAUGAAUUUCAGAUAAACAACACAUUAUGUUUUACUAUAAGGAUAUCUCAUAUAGUGUUUGGGACAUACUUAUACUAAGAAUUGUUUGUUGUUUGUCUGAAAUUCACAUUUACCUGGGUGUCCUAUA
This 144-nucleotide microRNA precursor is filed under the name Vicugna pacos (alpaca). Its description in RNAcentral is "miRNA (ENSVPAG00000016750.1)". Lineage: Eukaryota; Metazoa; Chordata; Mammalia; Artiodactyla; Camelidae. The record is from RNAcentral.